Molecule: non-coding RNA, 355 nt
Organism: Nicotiana tabacum (common tobacco)
Lineage: Eukaryota; Viridiplantae; Streptophyta; Magnoliopsida; Solanales; Solanaceae
Source: RefSeq, a predicted model, not a curated record
AUCCCCACAUAAUUACCUCGGAUCCUAAUUCCUAACUGGAAUUCUAUUUUUUCAGACAUCAAUAAGAACUCCGAUUCUUUGUACUUUUCAUCGAGUCUUUGACAGAAAAAGAAAAAGAACAUGUCUCGGGAGAGAGCCAAACGUGCGACACUGCCUCCAGCUCAGGAGAAUAUUGAGAAGUUAGAAAAGGUUGUAAAGCAGGGAAAUUACUAUGGAGCUCAACAGAUGUUCAAGUCUAUUAGCGCUAGAUAUGUGUCCGCUGAGAGGUAUUCUGAAGCUUUGGAUAUUCUUCAGUGUGGCGCUUGCUUACAAUUGGAGAAUGGACAGGUUAUAUAAUCUAUUCACUCCUAUGGAA